Passer montanus (Eurasian tree sparrow) is the source of this 294-nucleotide long non-coding RNA. RefSeq lists it as uncharacterized. The record is from RefSeq and is a predicted model, not a curated record. NCBI's taxonomy places the organism in Eukaryota, Metazoa, Chordata, Aves, Passeriformes, Passeridae. The transcript has 2 exons.
GAACCAGAUCUUGGUGUACUGUUGUCAGCACCACCACAUCACAGAGAUGGACUCCUCCAUCAGCUGGUGCUUCCAGAACUGUGCUGUAGAGGCUGUACCUGCAGCUUGCCAGAUGCAGAGCAAUCUCCUGGAGCAGAUCUCUGCCUACAACAUGGGCCAGUUCAGCCAGCUCGUGUCUGCUGUCAUAGUGAAGUCAUGGCCAGUCAGGCCUGGGCAGUCUGAGGAUGAUUUUGAUACAAUUCUGCACCACCUGCUCACGUGGCCUGACAUCAAACAAAUCUUCAGCUUUAAUGG